RNAcentral lists this ribosomal RNA (301 nucleotides) under uncultured bacterium. Its description in RNAcentral is "partial 16S ribosomal RNA". It matches the Rfam family "Bacterial small subunit ribosomal RNA", at positions 509 to 807 of the family's 1533-position model. The record is from RNAcentral.
CAGCAGCCGCGGUAAUACGAAGGUCCCGAGCGUUGUUCGGAAUCACUGGGCGUAAAGGGAGCGUAGGCGGCGUGGUAAGUCAGAUGUGAAAUCCCGGGGCUCAACCCCGGAACUGCAUCCGAUACUGCCGUGCUAGAGGAUUGGAGAGGUAGCUGGAAUUCUUGGUGUAGCAGUGAAAUGCGUGGAGAUCAAGAGGAACACUCGUGGCGAAAGCGAGCUACUGGACAAUAUCUGACGCUGAGGCUCGAAGGCCAGGGUAGCGAAAGGGAUUAGAUACCCCCGUAGUCCCUGUCUCUUAUAC